GACGAACGCUGGCGGCGUGCUUAACACAUGCAAGUCGAACGGAAAGGCCCUGCUUGCAGGGUACUCGAGUGGCGAACGGGUGAGUAACACGUGGGUGAUCUGCCCUUCACUUCGGGAUAAGCCUGGGAAACUGGGUCUAAUACCGGAUAGGAGCCAUUUUUAGUGUGAUGGUUGGAAAGUUUUUUCGGUGUAGGAUGAGCUCGCGGCCUAUCAGCUUGUUGGUGGGGUAAUGGCCUACCAAGGCGGCGACGGGUAGCCGGCCUGAGAGGGUGGACGGCCACAUUGAGACUGAGGUACGGCACAGGCUCCUACGGGAGGAAGCAGGGGGGAAUAUUGAUCAAUGGGCGCAGGGCUGAUGCAGCGGCGCCGCGUGGGGGAUGACGGCCUUCGGGUUGUAGACUCCUUUCGCUAGAGAAGAAGGUUUUUGUGACGGUACCUAGAGAAGAAGCACCGGCUAACUACGUG
RNAcentral lists this ribosomal RNA (465 nucleotides) under uncultured bacterium. Its description in RNAcentral is "partial 16S ribosomal RNA". It matches the Rfam family "Bacterial small subunit ribosomal RNA", at positions 28 to 507 of the family's 1533-position model. The record is from RNAcentral.